This 73-nucleotide non-coding RNA is filed under the name Blautia pseudococcoides. RNAcentral's name for it is "Blautia sp. YL58 Fluoride riboswitch aptamer (crcB RNA motif)". It matches the Rfam family "Fluoride riboswitch aptamer (crcB RNA motif)". RNAcentral also lists the same sequence under 1 other name. Lineage: Bacteria; Bacillati; Bacillota; Clostridia; Lachnospirales; Lachnospiraceae. The record is from Rfam by way of RNAcentral.
UAGUUUUAAGGGAAUGAGGUUCUCCCGUGGAUGAUUCCAAAAGUGCGUGUAUGCUGAUGACUUCUGUGUAAAA